UACGGAGGAUGCGAGCGUUAUCCGGAUUUAUUGGGUUUAAAGGGUGCGUAGGCGGGCUGUUAAGCCAGCGGUAAAAGCCCGGGGCUCAACCCCGGCGAGCCGUUGAAACUGGCUGUCUUGAGAUGUCGAGAGGUAUGCGGAAUGCGCAGUGUAGCGGUGAAAUGCUUAGAUAUUGCGCAGAACUCCGAUUGCGAAGGCAGCAUACCGGCGGCGAUCUGACGCUGAGGCACGAAAGCGUGGGUAUCGAACAGG
This 252-nucleotide ribosomal RNA is filed under the name uncultured bacterium. RNAcentral describes it as "partial 16S ribosomal RNA". It matches the Rfam family "Bacterial small subunit ribosomal RNA", at positions 524 to 776 of the family's 1533-position model. The record is from RNAcentral.